CGGCUGAGUAACGCGUGGGUGACGUACCUAUCGGUGGGGAAUAACUGCCCGAAAGGGUGGCUAAUACCGCAUACGUCCACUGCUUCGUGGCAGUGGGGAAAACCGCAAGGUGCCGAUGGGGCGGCCCGCGUUCGAUUAGCUGGUUGGUGGGGUAACGGCCUACCAAGGCGACGAUCGAUAGCUGGUCUCAGAGGAUGAUCAGCCAGACUGGGACUGAGACACGGCCCAG
Molecule: ribosomal RNA, 229 nt
Filed under: uncultured bacterium
Lineage: Bacteria
Description: partial 16S ribosomal RNA
Rfam family: Bacterial small subunit ribosomal RNA
Source: RNAcentral